Long non-coding RNA from Centropristis striata (black sea bass), 3543 nucleotides. RefSeq lists it as uncharacterized. The transcript has 4 exons. Lineage: Eukaryota; Metazoa; Chordata; Actinopteri; Perciformes; Serranidae. The record is from RefSeq and is a predicted model, not a curated record.
UAAAUAAUUUAGAAAAUAAAUAAAUACUUUUUAAAUAAAUAAAUACACUAACAGAUAUUUAAUUUCAAAAGUGCAAAGUCAGAACAUGCUCUAGCCUACAUUUCUUCCUCCUAAACGGGGCCUUUUAUAAGAAGAAAAACAGCAGCAGCAUGUGUUUUGACUGUGAUGCUUUCCUGUGAAAUACAGACAGUUGUAUGGUCAUCAGCCAAAUGAGUCAAGGGGGGGGGGGGCUUUAGUAGCUAAGCAACCAGGUGGCCAGGUGGAGUUGACCAAUCAGAGCAGAGCAAUCAACUGAAAUGAACUGCUGGCGGAGACAGUCCGCCACAGUGAGCAGGCAGAGGUGGACUAUAGCGUCAUAUUUGAGUCAAAAGUCGCGCGAGCGAUAACCAUAGACUGUAUAGGCGAUAACACAUCUGCACGCGCAUGUAUUUAGUGUCACGCGCGCAGAUUUCAACUGCCGCGCGCACUUGUUUGAUCUUAUUUAUACAGUCUAUGCUUCGCGCACAUAUUCAGCAACUGAGUGAAGCAGAUUCUCCCCCGUGCUCGCUCGCGGUGGAGCUCUGCUCGUGCCGAGCGAGAACUUUUUACACAUUGGGGGCGGGGCCAAGGCUGACCCCAGGCCUCUUAUGAUUGGUCAUUUUCCAGCCCAACACGUGGGUGCCUUUUCAGUUUACUGCUGACAGCUGGUAGCGGCGGCAUCAUCUAAAGCUUAGAUGAUGCCGCCGCAGGCUGUCUCUGACAGUCUUCUCAGACAGCCCACAACCAUUGGAAGACUUUCUGAUCAGAGAUUGGAGCGGUGGUCCGGAGAGAAGAGGAUGUCGGAGCGGGUCGGCAGCACCUGGUGUCGGUGUGUCCUGAGUCUAUCUGCUGUCAGGAGGCUGACCUGGACCAUACCAUGCGUGGUGAAGCAUGUGUAACAAAUGUUCGCACAUUUGGAGUACUGUACCGGGAAGAGGACGUGCUUUCCCUGAAGGAUGUCCGAGCUGAAGGAAGUCCGAGCGGAGACACCGGAGCGUCCUGUCAACAGCAGGUAACUAGGUCAAGCUAACUAACGUCAGUAAUCGCAGGUGGUUUAACGUAAAUAUAAUAAAUAAACGCUAUAGUGAGACAGGAAUAUGAUGGAGAAGACGCGAACAAUGUUUCCAUUUUCAGUAAUUAUCAGACGAAAACGUUUUAGUUUAUGUCGCUCCAUGCUAACGGUAAUAGCUAAUUACUAGCUAACAUUAGCGUUAGCUAACAAUGACAUCAAAUGGCCGGCUAGGUUGAAAGAACACGUUUUCUUUUGGACAAAGAGUGUGAUGCAAAACAUGUCUGAGAAGUCUGGGUGGCAUUCUGAGGGAUGUUGAACAUAAUGAUAUCAAUGUCACAUUCUUUUAGAAGCCAGGGUAUUAUUCUUCUGUGACUAUCAAAAGUAUCAAUAUGCAGUUACUUCUAACAUUUAUGGACAAUCAUGCACCUUACUAUAUUAGCAAUAACCACCUGACUUCACUUAUGUACAGUGUAUAACAUAUUAACAUCAUUGUGCACUGUAUACAGCACAUAGUGUAGCAUAGUUAUGGUUAUAUCCCUAUAUCCAAUUAUUUUUCAAAACAUUUGCCAUUUGCAUCAAGUACUGUAGAAUGUUGUAUUAAUGGUUUGUAUUCUGCUCUUCACUUUGUUUAGUUUUUUUACUAAGUGAUGUAAAAGUUGCUAGCAAUAGUUAUAGAAACUGAUUAUGAUAGAAUCUCAAAUACAAAAGCUGGACGAGGCUCAAAUACUGAAAAUUCGCCAUGUUGAUUGAUAUAAUAUACUUGGUAUACUGGCGCUACUAUUGGUUAAUUGUUGAGCUGUCAGAGUCAGAGCCAAUCAGAGGCAGAAUAGGGCGGAUCUUAAUGGAACACGGGGUUCAAGGGUCAAAGGAACCCAUGUGAUCUAAGGUCAGCCUCAAGUGUUUUUCGUUUUUUAGCUAGCGACUGUCAGUACUUCUGUUGAGUAAAAUAUUUUUCAAAAGUAAAUGAUUGUGCAUUAUUUUGGUUCGUGUUGGCGAAGCUUUUUAUUUUUAUUUUUAAAAUCUGCCACUACACAUGGAGACGCAUUUGAAGCAGUUAGGCCAAGUAAAGAGAUAGCGCAUGCUAAACUGCACGCAUCACAAGAAUAUAGCCUGCAAGAUGUGGUGAGGGAGGUCGCGGAAUUUAGGAUAACCUGACUGACUGACGUGGAGAACGUGGAGUCACGGCUAAAACCUGAGAAGCCAUCACCAUGUUGUUGUUUCACAUCAGAGUAAGUAUUUCACAUUAUGCAGAUUUUUCAGCAUGUGGUCCUCAAUAUAUAGUAUAGAAGUCACUAUAUUUUCAGACUUUUCCAGGUUUCUUGUGUCCAGCAUCUUCAAGACAGACUAAGCUAACCUUUCAUAUUUUUUGCACAUUUAUAUUUAGGUUAGGUUAGGAGUAGGUUAGGUUUAUAGUAGAGUAUUUAGUUUGUAUAGUUUAGCUUUUUAUGCUGAUCUAGGGAGAGUAAAGUUAGCAAAUUAAUUUAGUUCAGAUCACUUACAGUUGCAUAUUAUUGUUACAAUUGUGUUAUUUUGUGAGUUAUUGUUGUACAGGCUAUUGUAUAUUGCAGGACCAAGUGAGACCACUGCUUCCAAGAUGCCACUCAGAAAGUGCGUUGGACAAGUCUCGACCUUGCAGAUCCUGCUCCACUUAGCCCAAACACUUCCGACCAUGGGGUACCUCCAAGACCUCCGUCAACCAGCCGGCUGUGGAUGAUGGAUAACGCACCCACAACUCCUUCUCCAGCCUACAAGGUUCUGAAAAUACAGACAGCCCCACAGUCCAAGAACAGCUGGAUGACCUCUGGACCCACUUGCCCCCGUUCACCAGUUGAAAAGAUAGGCUUUUUAAAAAAUUCAUCAAUUGUUAAUUCUGCACAAAGUGAUGGACAAAACAUUGUAUGUCUUCCAUUUCAACAAACACAAACAUGAAAUGUAUAUUUAAAUACAUAACUUAAUGCAAAUCAAUUAUACUAAACAUCAUCUUCUUUUUUUUUUAAACCAACCAUUGCACGCACUUCCAUCCAAGGAGAGGUUACAUCUUGAUGUCGUAGCCGAGCCUCGAUGCAGCGCCGCGUCUCCAGGAAGGCCUGACGCUGAGCCCGGUCAGACAGGUAGCUGAUGAAUAUCCCAGCAGUGUUCAUACACAGGAACAACACAGCCUGAGCCGCUACCUGGAACACACAGGGACAGAGAGGCAGAGCAUGAGAUCACACACACACAUCGUUUUAAGGGGAGCGGGCAGACUUCCAGGCAAGCAAAGCAGUGAAAGUCAAAGAAACAACUCACAAGCAACUCACACUCCAAUCAAAGAUCCCUAAUAAUAACCUGGCUGUACUUGAAGUUCCAUGAAAUUAGUCUCUUUUCUUUCAGCUGAAAGCAGACAGAACAAACGGUAACACUUUACAAUAACCAACUAAGUGAUGUUUAUAGAUGGUUUAUAGACCAAUUAUUAGCCAUUUACAAAGUACUAUACAUAUUUAAUAUUUAGGUAUUGGUUUAAAAAAAUGUAAAGG